This 684-nucleotide long non-coding RNA is filed under the name Marmota monax (woodchuck). The record is from RNAcentral. Lineage: Eukaryota; Metazoa; Chordata; Mammalia; Rodentia; Sciuridae.
AAAGACACUUUCACCCUUGAUUCUAAAAUUGUGUAAAUUUAUAUCCUAAAAGUACAGCCCUGUUUUCAAGGCAUACUGUCUUUAGUUGAGUGAAUGGCACACUAGCUAUCAGGUUGCAAAAGGUGGGAGAGAAAAAGUAGAAGGAGGGUGGGAGGGAUUCCAAGACAAUUGAGCCACCUGAGAAAAGACACAGUGGCAAGAGAAUGCUGCCUGUGUCUGAAUCUGAGCCAAGUGUAUAGAGUCCAAAGAAGGAGGGGUCAGUAGAAGGCUAGAAACAAAGGUUGUAGUUUAUGAAGAGAAUUUCUCAAGUCAAUGAGUUGCCAUCUGGCCUUCCUACCAACCUGCUGUUCUACUUCUGGUCUUUGAGCAAGCAAUAAAUUAUGUGUAUCACACUGAGUUUCCUCGGCAUAUCCCAUACCUCACAUUUUGCACUGUCUACCCUUCAUCAGCAGUAACAGCUAAAGCUGCUGAGUUCAGCACCUAUUAUCUUGUUAACAAGGUUUUCCCUUUAGCACUAACCCCUUGCAACUCAAUCUCUAAUGCUGACUGCUAAAAUGACUUGAUGUCCAGAUGUAGAUUCACCAUCUGAGUCAGGAGCUCUGAAAUCUGUGCCUGCACUGUGAAACAUGUUGGCCGAUGUGAUAAUGAUUUAUUUCCAGCACAACUUAUGUGAAUAUCUCAAAG